RNAcentral lists this ribosomal RNA (297 nucleotides) under Triticum aestivum (bread wheat). RNAcentral's name for it is "partial small subunit ribosomal RNA". The record is from RNAcentral. Lineage: Eukaryota; Viridiplantae; Streptophyta; Magnoliopsida; Poales; Poaceae.
AUGCUCGAGGUCCUGGUGAGCGCAGGCGGGGAGAUGUUGUCGCCUUCGGAGGUGAUUGCGCGGCUGCCAUCCAAGGCGGCCAAUCCGGACGCGCCGGCCAUGGUGGACCGCAUACUGCGGCUGCUGGCGUCGUACAACGUAGUGUUGUGUGAGGUCGACGAAGGUGAGGACGGCCUCUUCGCCCGCCGGUACGGCUCCGCACCAGUGUGCAAGUGGCUCACCCCCAACGAGGACGGUGUCUCCAUUGCCGCGCUAGUCCUGAUGAUCCAGGACAAGGUCAAUAUGGAGGGCUGGUGA